CAAUAGCGUAUAUUAAAGUUGUUGCAGUUAAAAAGCUCGUAGUUGGAGUUCAGAGUGAGCUCAGCCGGUCCGCCUCAUGGGUGAGUACUGGUCGACUCUCUCUUGUUUGUGAAUCCCGCCCGGAGUUAAUUCUUCGGGAUGUGGAGUUCACAUCGUUUACCUUGAAAAAUUAGAGUGUUCAAAGCAGGCGUUUGCUUGAAUAUAUUAGCAUGGAAUAAUGGAAUAGGACCCUGGUUCUAUUUUGUUGGUUUUGAGAACCAGAGUAAUGAUUAAUAGGGAUAGUUGGGGGCGAUUCUAUAUUUCUAUUGUUCAGAGGUGAAAUUCUUGGAUUUAUGAAAGAAUGAACUUCUGCGAAAGCAUUUGCCAAGGAUGUUUUC
Molecule: ribosomal RNA, 377 nt
Filed under: uncultured eukaryote
Lineage: Eukaryota
Description: bacterial SSU rRNA
Rfam family: Eukaryotic small subunit ribosomal RNA
Source: RNAcentral